This 253-nucleotide ribosomal RNA is filed under the name uncultured bacterium. RNAcentral describes it as "partial 16S ribosomal RNA". It matches the Rfam family "Bacterial small subunit ribosomal RNA", at positions 524 to 776 of the family's 1533-position model. The record is from RNAcentral.
UACGUAGGGGGCAAGCGUUAUCCGGAAUUACUGGGUGUAAAGGGAGCGUAGACGGUAAUGUAAGUCUGGAGGGAAAGGCGGGGGCCCAACCCCCGGACUGCUCUGGAAACUAUGUUACUAGAGUGCAGGAGAGGUAAGCGGAAUUCCUAGUGUAGCGGUGAAAUGCGUAGAUAUUAGGAGGAACACCAGUGGCGAAGGCGGCUUACUGGACUGUAACUGACGUUGAGGCUCGAAAGCGUGGGGAGCAAACAGG